Molecule: long non-coding RNA, 448 nt
Organism: Amphimedon queenslandica
Lineage: Eukaryota; Metazoa; Porifera; Demospongiae; Haplosclerida; Niphatidae
Exons: 3
Source: RefSeq, a predicted model, not a curated record
AUGAAGGCCACACCUAGUCUGAGUAGUCAAUAUGGUGAAGCCAGGAUUGAUUCAUUGGAUUGCUGGUUUGGGCUUAGGGGGCAUUUCUGGUGUUUAUCUGGCACAAAACUAUCAGCUCCCACUAAUGAGUGACCUGUUUGAUCGUCUGUCCAAGUUUGUAUCUUCAUUUGAAAAGGGUACCAACAGCAGCAGCAGUAAUAAUGACAGUAUAGAGGGACGUGGUGGACCAAACAAACCUUAAGCAACAGUUUACUGUAUUGAUGCUAUUUCAUAAUUAUCACCUGUUAUUAAUUGUUUUGUAACUGUGUAUUAGUUACACUGUCUGUGGAAAUGAUUAUAAUUUUUUAAAACUGUUUAGUUAUCAAAGUCUUGAUGCAUGCUUAUGCACAUUUUGAUAAUCUGAUUGAUAGUUUUUGUAUUGAGUUACCCUCAACCUCAGUUUAUAAAG